GCCAGGUGUGGUGGUACACACCUGUAAUCCCAGUGGCUUGGAGGCUGAGGUAGGAGGAUCAUGAGUUCAAAGUCAGCCUCAGGAAAAGUGAGGUGCUAACCAACUCAGUGAAACCCUGUCUGUA
Molecule: small RNA, 124 nt
Filed under: Marmota monax (woodchuck)
Lineage: Eukaryota; Metazoa; Chordata; Mammalia; Rodentia; Sciuridae
Source: RNAcentral